GACGUAGGUGGCGAACGUUAUCCGGAUUUAUUGGGCGUAAAGGGCGCGUAGGCGGCUUGGCAAGUGGAUGGUGAAAUCCCUCGGCUUAACCGAGGAACUGCCGUCCAAACUGCUUCGCUUGAGACCGGGAGAGGUGAGUGGAAUUCCCAGUGUAGCGGUGAAAUGCGUAGAUAUUGGGAGGAACACCAGUGGCGAAGGCGGCUCACUGGACCGGUACUGACGCUGAUGCGCGAAAGCGUGGGGAGCAAACGGG
RNAcentral lists this ribosomal RNA (253 nucleotides) under uncultured bacterium. RNAcentral's name for it is "partial 16S ribosomal RNA". It matches the Rfam family "Bacterial small subunit ribosomal RNA", at positions 524 to 776 of the family's 1533-position model. The record is from RNAcentral.